ACUCCAGGCUUCAGGGCCGCAGUCCGGCAGUCCGGCUUGGAACAGACCGCAGACACCUGCAUCAUCAGCACUGAAGCUGCUUCCGGCUGAAGGAUGCAUAAUUAUAUCUAAAAGAGUGUGCCUGCUCUUCAUUCAUCACUUCUUGUCUUUACGCACCAGACUGAAAGGAGAUCCAGGAGGACAGGGUUAACAUGAUGAAGGAGACGAUGAAGGGAUUAUUUUGGUCAAACACAACCUUGUUCCAGAUUCCUGACCUUGUCCAGCCUGGCCUCAUCACUUGCUGUUUUAAGAGUUUGAAAGCUGCAGAUGUACAUUUCGCCUGCAGCAGCUGAAGAAAUUUGAAAACCACAAUACAGAAAAAUCAAAACUUGCCUGCCUGCCAAUGAAGGAAGCAGCCCCAUUGUCACACUGAUCAAAUUCCCCAGGCUGUGCAAAGGCUACUCCAUGCGGAGUGAUGUACAUGACAAUACAGAUCUUUGUGAAUGAUGACGGCCUGACUCAUUUCAGAACUCCAAUAAUACCCACACAUGGAAACGAGACACUUCAAUUCUAUACGAUUUCCUUCUUUGCUGUUUCAGGUGGCUGAUUACAGAGAUGACUCGCCGAGAAAAGCCG
Lepisosteus oculatus (spotted gar) is the source of this 615-nucleotide long non-coding RNA. RefSeq lists it as uncharacterized. The record is from RefSeq and is a predicted model, not a curated record. Lineage: Eukaryota; Metazoa; Chordata; Actinopteri; Semionotiformes; Lepisosteidae.